Molecule: ribosomal RNA, 410 nt
Filed under: uncultured bacterium
Lineage: Bacteria
Description: bacterial SSU rRNA
Rfam family: Bacterial small subunit ribosomal RNA
Source: RNAcentral
AAUGGGCGCAAGCCUGAUCCAGCCAUGCCGCGUGAGUGAAGAAGGCCUUCGGGUUGUAAAGCUCUUUCGGUGGGGAAGAAAUGGCACGGGUCAAUACCCUGUGUCGAUGACGGUACCCGACUAAGAAGCACCGGCUAACUACGUGCCAGCAGCCGCGGUAAUACGUAGGGUGCGAGCGUUAAUCGGAAUUACUGGGCGUAAAGCGUGCGCAGGCGGUUUGGUAAGUCAGAUGUGAAAUCCCCGGGCUCAACCUGGGAACUGCAUUUGAGACUGCCCAACUGGAGUUUGGCAGAGGGGGGUGGAAUUCCACGUGUAGCAGUGAAAUGCGUAGAGAUGUGGAGGAACACCGAUGGCGAAGGCAGCCCCCUGGGCCAAUACUGACGCUCAUGCACGAAAGCGUGGGGAGCAAA